Molecule: ribosomal RNA, 392 nt
Filed under: uncultured Gammaproteobacteria bacterium
Lineage: Bacteria; Pseudomonadati; Pseudomonadota; Gammaproteobacteria
Description: bacterial SSU rRNA
Rfam family: Bacterial small subunit ribosomal RNA
Source: RNAcentral
AAUGGGGGCAACCCUGAUCUAGCCAUGCCGCGUGAGUGAUGAAGGCCUUAGGGUCGUAAAGCUCUUUCGCCUGUGAUGAUAAUGACAGUAGCAGGUAAAGAAACCCCGGCUAACUCCGUGCCAGCAGCCGCGGUAAUACGGAGGGGGUUAGCGUUGUUCGGAAUUACUGGGCGUAAAGCGCGCGUAGGCGGAUUAGAAAGUUGGGGGUGAAAUCCCGGGGCUCAACCCCGGAACUGCCUCCAAAACUGCUAGUCUAGAGUUCGAGAGAGGUGAGUGGAAUUCCGAGUGUAGAGGUGAAAUUCGUAGAUAUUCGGAGGAACACCAGUGGCGAAGGCGGCUCACUGGCUCGAUACUGACGCUGAGGUGCGAAAGUGUGGGGAGCACACAGGAUU